This 1511-nucleotide long non-coding RNA is filed under the name Oncorhynchus mykiss (rainbow trout). RNAcentral describes it as "lncRNA (ENSOMYG00000064013.1)". The record is from RNAcentral. Lineage: Eukaryota; Metazoa; Chordata; Actinopteri; Salmoniformes; Salmonidae.
AUGUAGACUAAAGGAAAGCAAUUACAAUUUCAGGAACUGAAGUGACUAAUUGGACAAAGUUGUUUUCCACAGAACAAGAUAAACAGAGAAUUAAGAUAAACAAAAAGAAAGGGCCUCUGUAUUGCUCUUUGGUUGAAGCACCAUCUGCCUCAGAUACAGCUCUUUAGUGUGUGUGGAUAGAGAGAAAGAGACAGAGAGAGUGUGUAAAACACACACACACACUUUGAGUUUAGAUUUUGACAUUCUGUAAGGUUCUGCAGUUACCAAGCAGCAUGACCCUGAGUCGUUAACAAACUGUCAAAGAAUCCUUCCAUUUUUACACUUGCUUUGUCCCAAAUGGCACCCUAUUCCCUAUGGGCAAGGGUACUCUAGGGUGCCUUUUGGGAUGCAAACAGUGGCUACACAUUGUCAUCUUCUUGUCAUCCUGAAAUGCCAAUAUGUGUCAGACAUGGGUUCAAAUACUAUUGUAAAUAUUUGAAAUACUUUCAGUGUUUGGUCUAGCAUGCCUGGAGUGCCAGGUGAACAGGAUUAGCAGUUUGGGGCCUAUUGUAUUGGUCAAUUAAACCAGGCAAGCUCAAUCAAGCACAAAAAAGUAUUUGAAAUGUCCUAAAUAGUAUUUGGAUCCAGGUCGGAUAUGAGUAAAGCCAAUAGAAGGCGUAUUGAAUAAUAGUGAUUUUGAUAACAAUACAAAGCAUACAAAAUCAUUUGUGUUCCUUCACACGCAAUACCCUUUUCAAAAUCUCUCUAAAAUGUCAAAGUAAUACUCCUCAGGCUGACGUGCGUGUUUGUGUGUCUUACCCACACACUUCUCAGCCAAUCCUGGUUGCCUGGACACCAGUGUAAAAGGCUGGCACAGGUUUCCCAAACCCAUUUGGUGAGCUCACAGCAGAGGGGAAAGACACACACACACACACACACACACACAGCUUAGCAACGUUUAGACUAACAUACGGACUGUGGGCGAGCUGCAGAGGGGGAGCAGGUACUAGGGCCAUUACAGUCCCAGCAGGUGGCGACCCGACAUUCAGGGCAGGAAAAUUGGAACGGGGAAAUCUCAGACUUCAGUGAGUUCAAGACAACUGGGAACUCUGAAAAAAACGAUUACUUACUCGGGAAAAAAACAAACAUUUUGAACGGUCAUCCAACUCGGAAUUCCAAGUUGGAAACUUGGGGCUCUUUCUAGAGCUCCGACCUGAAGAUCACUGACGUCAUGAUUAAAACUUGUUUUUUUUCAGAGUUCCCAGUUGUCUUGAAAGCACCAUAAAUCAAGAGAAUGCCAGACUUUGAUGGCAAAGUUUGAUGACUAAAUUUGCCCACAAGAAGGACCGCCAUGCCAACUUCCUGUUCAUGUGAGCACAGCACCACAAGGUGAGUCCAUGUAUUGUAUGCUGCUGCAUAAAUGAUGCAAUAUGCCAGGGAGGAGUCUAUACUGUAGCUAAGACAGUAAUACUAAGUGCAUGUUGUGUAGUAAGAUGUUAGAAGCCCAUGUGCCUCACCCUAGUAUCUGGUCC